This 253-nucleotide ribosomal RNA is filed under the name uncultured bacterium. Its description in RNAcentral is "partial 16S ribosomal RNA". It matches the Rfam family "Bacterial small subunit ribosomal RNA", at positions 524 to 776 of the family's 1533-position model. The record is from RNAcentral.
UACGUAGGGGGCGAGCGUUGUCCGGAUUUAUUGGGCGUAAAGAGCGUGUAGGCGGCCAGGUAGGUCUGCUGUGAAAACUCGAGGCUCAACCUCGAGACGUCGGCGGAAACCAUCUGGCUAGAGUCCGGAAGAGGAGAGUGGAAUUCCUGGUGUAGCGGUGUAAUGCGCAGAUAUCAGGAAGAACACCCGUGGCGAAGGCGGCUCUCUGGGACGGUACUGACGCUGAGACGCGAAAGCGUGGGGAGCGAACAGG